CGGCCAUAGCGCCGUGGAACCACCUGAUCCCAUGCCGAACUCAGAAGUGAAACGCGGUAGCGCCGAUGGUAGUGUGGCAUUCGCCAUGCGAGAGUAGGACACUGCCAGGC
RNAcentral lists this ribosomal RNA (110 nucleotides) under Aeromonas hydrophila. Lineage: Bacteria; Pseudomonadati; Pseudomonadota; Gammaproteobacteria; Aeromonadales; Aeromonadaceae. RNAcentral also lists the same sequence under 5 other names. The record is from RNAcentral.